This is a long non-coding RNA of Marmota monax (woodchuck), 449 nucleotides long. RefSeq lists it as uncharacterized. Lineage: Eukaryota; Metazoa; Chordata; Mammalia; Rodentia; Sciuridae. The record is from RefSeq and is a predicted model, not a curated record. The transcript is spliced from 2 exons.
GUGGAACCCAAGGAUUUCCAUAUGCUCACUCGCUAGGCAAACAUUCCACACACAACCUGUGGCAGCUUUUUAGGCUGAACUUUGCUCAAAGCAAGAAAGGCUCCAUUCACUCACCGAAAAGUGCUCAAACUCCCCUAUUGGAAUGGUCAGCAUCUGCAUCUCUAUGCCUGAAGACUCUUUAGCCCUGAACUGAAGAAACACACUCUUGAUACCAACAGUGCUGGGGAAUUUACCAUCCAACCCUGUACUCAGAAGACUUGAGAAAAGCUUCUGUUCCUCAUCUCCACACAUUGUGGUGUUCUAUUUCACAGUUUGCUUCCAGCAUUAAGCUUUAGUCAUUUCCUCUGUCAGCUUGCUAAAUAAAAAUCUGUAAUGGCAAACUUCUUUUUCUUAUUUCAUCCCCACUCUUGAUCUUUGACCUUCCCAAAUAAACAACUUGUUUUCUAAUA